This 324-nucleotide ribosomal RNA is filed under the name Clostridioides difficile. Its description in RNAcentral is "bacterial LSU rRNA". It matches the Rfam family "Bacterial large subunit ribosomal RNA", at positions 1466 to 1800 of the family's 2925-position model. The record is from RNAcentral. Lineage: Bacteria; Bacillati; Bacillota; Clostridia; Peptostreptococcales; Peptostreptococcaceae.
GGGAUGACACAGUAGGAUAAGCUAAGCACACUGUUGGUUAUGUGUGCCCAAGCAUUGAGGCAGUCAAAGUAGGCAAAUCCGCUUUGAUAAUGCUGGGAUGUGAUGGGGAGCGAAAUUUAGUAGCGAAGUAGCUGAUUUCACACUGUCAAGAAAAGGCUCUAUCGAGGUUAAAGGUACCCGUACCGCAAACCGACACAGGUGGGUGAGGAGAGUAUCCUAAGGCCAGCGAGAGAACUGUUGUUAAGGAACUCGGCAAAAUGACCCCGUAACUUAGGGAUAAGGGGUGCCACCAUCAGGUGGCCGCAGAGAAUAGGCCCAAGCGAC